UUUUCCCUCGCUCUCGGGUUCCUGAAUUAGCUGUUUGUUUACGGCUACAGACUUGUGUGUGCCAGCGAACCGAGCCAGCGCGCGAGGGAGGGAAUUGAUCUUUCCCCAGACUCAAAGCUGGAGCGGAAGAAGUGCGGGGGAUUUGGGGUUCUGAGUGGGACUCAGCCCCUGGGUGCUGAGGAGAAGCCUGUGGGGCUCUCUAGCCCGCUUCUCUAACCCCAGCGACCUUGCAGGAAUCCUCAGGCCUGAGAGCUGCCCGGCUCUGGGCUUUGCAGAAAGUGGCGGCGGCUGCGUCCCGGUCUUUAAAACGAACGCAAAGAAAGGAGGCAAAGCUGAAACCUUGUCGCGUGUCAGAAGCAACCUGCCGUGAAAUUCGUUAAUGCGCCCCGACUCGCCCUUCGCGCAUGUAGCCACAGCAAAUUAUUGCUCAUUUGAUACCCAGAAUUCUAUUGACCAUGGCUUUCGUCGGAGAGAGAAUUUUAACUACUGGCUGCUCUGGGCUCGGAGCUGAGGCUGGGAACAAGUAAAUCCAGCCCUGACCGACAAGAAUUGAUGGGGAUGUGCUGUUGAUUGGAGCCACGUGGACUUGCAUAGAAACCUGCUUUUUACUCUGCCUG
This 617-nucleotide long non-coding RNA is filed under the name Rattus norvegicus (Norway rat). Its description in RNAcentral is "long non-coding RNA NONRATT027869". The record is from RNAcentral. Lineage: Eukaryota; Metazoa; Chordata; Mammalia; Rodentia; Muridae.